GUCCUCGUAGUUAAAUGGAUAUAACCGGCCCCUCCUAAGGGUCAAUUACUGGUUCGAUUCCAGUCGAGGACACCA
This 75-nucleotide transfer RNA is filed under the name Gallionellales bacterium GWA2_60_142. RNAcentral's name for it is "tRNA-Arg". It matches the Rfam family "tRNA". Rfam says of the family: Transfer RNA (tRNA) molecules are approximately 80 nucleotides in length. Lineage: Bacteria; Pseudomonadati; Pseudomonadota; Betaproteobacteria; Nitrosomonadales. RNAcentral also lists the same sequence under 1 other name. The record is from RNAcentral.